This 4552-nucleotide long non-coding RNA is filed under the name Sus scrofa (pig). RNAcentral describes it as "lncRNA (ENSSSCG00005008297.1)". The record is from RNAcentral. Lineage: Eukaryota; Metazoa; Chordata; Mammalia; Artiodactyla; Suidae.
CUGUGCAAAGGCCCUGAGGUGCGGAUGGCUCGGGGCUUUUAAGGACAGGAAGGGGCCAGUGUUGGAGGAGGAGAGAAGUGAGUGUGGGAGAGGAUGGGGCCAGGGGGCGCCAGAUCAGUCUUGGGGGGGAAUUGGAUUUGGUUCUGUGGUGGGAGCUGUUGGAGGGUAUGAGCAGGGAAUCCUCUGAUCUGACCGACAUUUUAAAUGUGUCAUGGUGGUGGUUGCAAGGAGAACAGACAGGCAGGGCCUGAGAGGAAAGGCGAGACUGGUUGGCGCUGAGCAUCUGACGCAGUUGCCCAGACAAGAGGGCCUCGGCUUAGGUGGCAGCAGUGGGGGCGACGAGAGGGCCGACGGAGGCCUCUGGCCUGACGGAGCAUCAUGUGUGCCGGGGUGAGGUGAGCAGAACGGAGGCCAAGUUCAGUUCACUCGGGCGCCCGGUCUCCCCACGGCGAGGCUGAUAUGCUCUGAUGUUGGUGUCAAGGCCAGUCUGUGCUGCUCAGCAUGACUUAGAACUCGUCUCGGGACCAGUGCCGAGGAUUCAUCUUGUUUUGAGCAGAUGCUGAUGGGAUCUGGGAUCGGGGCGUCGAGCAGAGCUGGGUAGACGCAGCCAAGGGGUAUGUUUGCUUCUCUCCUCUGCUCCCUGUGGGCGGAGGAGAGCAGGUGAUGCUUUGUUGGCUUGGUCAGAUAAGUGGAAUACUGUCCCCACGCAGCACCCCAAACACCCCUCUUUCCCACUAAAAAGAGGCGUGACGUCACCUCAUCCUCCUCCCACAAGAGGAACCCGCGUCCUUGCUCACACUUCUGUGUCACGUGGCCUUAAAGGGUUGCCAGGGCUCUUCCAGUCCUUGGUACCAUUACCGCCUUAUCCUGUGAAUGAUGUGGGGUAAAUGGAUGGUCAGCUGGAGCUGGAAUGCUUGGCCUCUGUGUUUCUGUGUGUGUGGUUGUGUUGGGUUUAUUGAUUCAUAAGUGUAUAUGGACACCUACCAAUGUAUUGUCACUGCCAAGGGCCAGCGAUGGAAAAGGACUAGCUCCUUCCCCGUAAGGCACUUGUUUUCUCAUCUUGUGGGCAGCUAAGUGUUUAUGCUCUUAGCUCUUCUUUGUGCCAUGGACCCUUUGGUAGUCGGGUGAAGACGGUGGACCUCUUCAGAAAGAUGUUUUAAUGCAUCAGUAAAAUACAUAGGAUCUCCAAGGGAACCGAACAUAUCGAAAUAUGGUUAGAAAAAUGCGUUAUCCUAAGGUAUAUUUCUGUACUAAAUCAUUAAAUAUCAAGAUUUGGGAGUGGUCUAAUAAAGACUUCGAUUUUGAGGUACUGAUGAAGGUAAGCAGUGCUGGGAGCUCUUUCUGACAACUCUAACCUUGUGUUAAUAUAGCUUUUGUUGGAGUCACAGGUAUUGCUGAUACUACCAUGGUGUGCUGCUUACAUUCAUAAUUGAGAAAAAUGUUAAAUUUCAGUUAGGGGCUAAUGAAAUACAGAUAUGUGAUUCUUUUUCUUUCUUUUUCUUUUGGCUUUUGAGGGCCGCAUCUGCGGCAUACGGAGGUUCCCAGGCUAGGCAUCUAAUCAGAGCUACAGCUGCCGGCCUACACCACAGCCACAGCGCGCCAGAUCCCAGCCGCGUCUUGGACCUGCACCACAGCUCAUGGCGAUGCUGGAUCCUUAACCCACUGAGGGAGGCCAGGGAUUGAACCUGCAACCUCAUGGUUCCUAGUUGGAUUCGUUUCUGCUGCCCCAUGACGGGAACUCCUGUAAUUCUUUUUUCUAGUCCAAGUUUAUGAACCCACCCACCCCACCCCGCCCUGAAUUCAGGCCGAGAAUUCCAGGCUUGAUGGUAAGAUUAAUUUAGUUAAUUGUAUUUUGGAGGGAGAGAAUGACUAACAGUGCUGUUUAAACAGACUUUAUAAUUAUUAUACUGUCAUUGUCAUGAAUUGGUUCUUCGAAUUUAGCUGAGAGGAGCGGCACCCCAAGCCAGCGUGAGAAUUAUCGAGUGAGCAGUGAAGGUAUUUAGAGGCACGAGCGUGGAGGGUAAGGCUGUCGGUUGUGGUUUGACAGCCACGGUGCUGUCUGCAUUUUUUCAAGGCCGGGGCUGAGUUUCUCCUGAGGUCCUGGGGGAGCUGAUUCACCUCUGCCUGCCUUGGAGUCGAGCGAAACUGCGAAUUGCACCUCCUGAGUCCUGUAGGUGGGACUCAAGCGGGGCUGCCAGUUCGCCUCUUUUCCCUUUCUUGUUUCUCUGGUUGGUCAUAAGCCGGCCUGGAGUCUGCAGGGAGAGCUUCCCUGUGAAGCCGUGGACUAAUGGGAAGCAACUGCCCAGAGUUUUGUGUUGUUUUCCGUGAGGUUACAUGUUUGAAAUGAGGCUGGUGUGGUGUGAGUGCAUUUGGGGUAUCAACAGAGUGAAAAGUGUCAUUGUUGGUAAGUGUUGGGUUUUUUGUUUUUUGGUGUUCUCUCUGGCCUAUUCUGUUAGCAUUAAUUGGGCACUUAUUGUGCGCCGUGCAAGCUAUAAGUUGUUCACGCAUAUGAGCUCUUAGCUUAUGUAAGAUUUGCAGAAACCCCUGGAAGGUCCAGAGAACCUAAGCCCCUUUCCAAGAUCGCAGGGCUAGGAAGAGGUGGAGCCAGGAUUCAAACUCAAGCAUUUUGACACGUGCGUCAGCUCUGGUCGCUGCCAACUGCCUCUGUCAAAGGCCCGAAGAGGCCCUCCACGUGCCGCCUUGCUCUUGCCGUCCGUCUUGGCACGUUGCAUCUAUCGCACGUCCUGAGUGGACACUUCUGGGGAAUCCUGCCGCAGGGCUUCCUCUUUGCUCCCUUUGUCCUUGUUGCUUCGGGAGCGGCUCCUCUCUACCCUUCACUGCUCUGCUGACGUGCCCAGCCCUGCAGAGCCGGGGGCCCGGGGCGCCGCCCACAGCCUGGCAGGAGGCCUGUCCUACUAGGGUAUCGUCAGUGACCUCAUCCCUCCACGCAGAGCUGGAGGCGGCUCCGCGGUGGGGCUGUCUCCGCAGCUGUUGGCGAUCACGUCGAGGGGCUGAGGAGGUCAGUCGCCUGUAAUGAUGGAUUCCCUCGGCUUUCAGGAUUCUAGCCAGGGUGUCCGGGUUUGGGCCCCCCCUUCUCUGGUUUCCCAGAAGAAAGCACAGUCUCACUUGAGUUUGUUUUGUUUUGUUUUUUAACAUUAACGACACCAGUGGCCAACAUUUCUUUGAGACUUAAUUCUGGAUUAAGGACUCUGCUGUAUUUGAUUUAUUUUUUGUCUCUUUAGGGCUGCUGCACCCACGGCACAUGGAGGUUCCCAGGCUAGUGGUCCAAUUGGAGCUAUAGCUGCUGGCCUACACCACAGGCAGCACAGCAACACCAGAUCCGAGCCGAAUCUACAACCUACACCCUAGCUCACAGCAACGCCGAAUCCACUGAGCGAGGCCAGGGAUCGAACCCGCAACCUCGUGGUUCCUAGUUGGAUUCAUUUCCGCUGUGCCAUGACGGGAGCUCCGACUCUGCUGCAUUUUAAAUCGAUUGUUUUGAUUGUUGCACCCUUGCAGCUGUCCUGCGAGGUGUGGGUCGGGUUGUCGCUUCUAUUUUGUAGUUGAGGAAGCUGAGGCCCAGACAGGUUACAGACCCGCAGGCAGCCACCCGUCCCACGACUGGCGGGGUUAGAGCAGCCUGAGAUGGGCGUGGCUCCUGCCUCGCCCUCCCCCUCGCUCAAGGCCUCCUGCGGGGGUCUCUGUGGUGCCGAAGACCCAAGACCCGCUGCAGGUGCUUCUCUGGGCGUCCUUAGCGCAGGUUGUGGAUCUUCCACAGGCCGGUCCGCGUUGUCAGUGACGGAGGAUGCGAGGUCACCCAGACGGGGCGUCAGACUCACCCCUGGGGAGAUGCUUAUUAAGAGGCCUAACUGCCUUGGAGUGAGGUAAAAGGACACAGCUACCCCCCACCCCCUGUCAGCGCCGGGGCCUGAGGACACUGUCACAGCUGCUCGUGACGGACUCCAGAGCCACGUAGGCAGUGAUCAGGCCCGUGCAGUGCUCCCUGGCUGCCUGCAGGUCUGGGUUUGGAGAGGCGACCGUCGAAGGGUGAGUCCUGAUGGGCAGAGGCGUCAGCGCCGUGCUGCCAUCGAGGGGCUUCGGGGAGAUCCCGAGACGAAGGAGAGCGUUCAGUCCUCGUACGGGCAUUAUUCCUCUGAUGGCCCUGGCCUGUCCCCAGCCAGGGGUUGCACCCCGGGCGGCUGAUUUCCCUGGUCGCCCCUCGGUGGCCUCCGUGGUCCAGUGGAGGGUGGCUGAGCAGUUUCUCCUCAGUCCGAGUCUGCAGCAGCUUUCGCCGCCUCUGACAUGCGUUACUUCUCCCGACCGGCUCCUCCGCGUUCUGCUGGUUACUCGUGGGCAUCCUUCUCUAGAGGGUAGAGGUGAAAUAAACCUCUCCCUUCCCGCUUUAAAGGUCCCCUCCCUGCAGAUGUCCCUGGAGCCCUUACGGGGGUUGGCCCCUGAGCUGGCGUUUCAUUGGAUGCAUCGCUGCUUUCGGUUCGGGGCACGUGGGGCUCCGUGGUUGGCUCCGUCUCACCUCGAGGCUGUCUUUCCAGUC